Molecule: non-coding RNA, 74 nt
Organism: Caenorhabditis brenneri
Lineage: Eukaryota; Metazoa; Nematoda; Chromadorea; Rhabditida; Rhabditidae
Source: the annotation of a GenBank genome assembly
CCCUCCGUGGGUGUAGCGGUUAGCGCUGCUGUUUUGUGAAAUUCAGAGCGCGGGUUCAAUUCCCGGUGGGGUCA